CACACAGCAGCUCUACUACUGACCAAUCACCAAACAGCGCCAGUGACAGACAAAGCAGCUGUACUAUGUCAUUCAGUCAAGAAUACGGAGAAUGUUUCAGACAGAGAAAAGAUAUGAACAUUGCUUCAUCUACUGGUGCCUGUGGCAUGCUGUGUAGUUGUUUUGAAUUGGUGAACCUCUAAUACAGAAUGUAUCAGAAAGCUCUGAAACUAACCGUUACCAACUAAUAGUAACUGCUAAUAAAACUGUAAAUACCUGCAGUAUGAGUUGAAAGCAGUUUGAAAGUGAAACACUGUGUUAGAUGACUUACUGUAUGAGGUGGUUAUGGGUAGAUGUAGCAGCAGUUAGAUGACUUACUGUAUGAGGUGGUUAUGGGUAGAUGUAGCAGCAGUGUUAGAUGACUUACUGUAGGAGGUGGUUAUGAGUAGAUGUAGCAGCAGUGUUAGAUGACUUACUGUAUGAGGUGGUUAUGGGUAGAUGUAGCAGCAGUGUUAGAUGACUUACUGUAGGAGGUGGUUAUGGGUAGAUGUAGCAGCAGUGUUAGAUGACUUACUGUAGGAGGUGGUUAUGGGUAGAUGUAGCAGCAGUGUUAGAUGACUUACUGUAUGAGGUGGUUAUGGGUAGAUGUAGCAGCAGUGUUAGAUGACUUACUGUAGGAGGUGGUUAUGGGUAGAUGUAGCAGCAGUGUUAGAUGACUUACUGUAGGAGAUGGUUAUGGGUAGAUGUAGCAGCAGUGUGUUAGAUGACUUACUGUAGGAGGUGGUUAUGGGUAGAUGUAGCAGCAGUGUUAGAUGACUUACUGUAGGAGGUGGUUAUGGGUAGAUGUAGCAGCAGUGUGUUAGAUGACUUACUGUAGGUGGUGGUUAUGGGUAGAUGUAGCAGCAGUUAGAUGACUUACUGUAUGAGGUGGUUAUGGGUAGAUGUAGCAGCAGUGUUAGAUGACUUACUGUAUGAGGUGGUUAUGGGUAGAUGUAGCAGCAGUUAGAUGACUUACUGUAGGAGGUGGUUAUGGGUAGAUGUAGCAGCAGUUAGAUGACUUACUGUAUGAGGUGGUUAUGGGUAGAUGUAGCAGCAGUUAGAUGACUUACUGUAGGAGGUGGUUAUGGGUAGAUGUAGCAGCAGUUAGAUGACUUACUGUAUGAGGUGGUUAUGGGUAGAUGUAGCAGCAGUGUUAGAUGACUUACUGUAGGAGAUGGUUAUGGGUAGAUGUAGCAGCAGUGUUAGAUGACUUACUGUAUGAGGUGGUUAUGGGUAGAUGUAGCAGCAGUGUUAGAUGACUUACUGUAUGAGGUGGUUAUGGGUAGAUGUAGCAGCAGUGUGUUAGAUGACUUACUGUAGGUGGUGGUUAUGGGUAGAUGUAGCAGCAGUUAGAUGACUUACUGUAUGUGGUGGUUAUGGGUAGAUGUCGCAGCAGUUAAAUAGAUGACUUACUGUAUGAGGUGGUUAUGGGUAGAUGUAGCAGCGGUUAGAUGACUUACUGUAUGAGGUGGUUAUGGGUAGAUGUAGCAGCAGUGUUAGAUGACUUACUGUAGGUGGUGGUUAUGGGUAGAUGGAGCAGCAGUGUUAGAUGACUUAUUGUAUGAGGUGGUUAUGGGUAGAUGUAGCAGCAGUUAGAUGACUUACUGUAUGAGGUGGUUAUGGGUAGAUGUAGCAGCAGUUAGAUGACUUACUGUAUGAGGUGGUUAUGGGUAGAUGUAGCAGCGGUUAGAUGACUUACUGUAUGAGGUGGUUAUGGGUAGAUGUAGCAGCAGUUAGAUGACUUACUGUAUGAGGUGGUUAUGGGUAGAUGGAGCAGCAGUGUUAGAUGACUUACUGUAGGAGGUGGUUAUGGGUAGAUGUAGCAGCAGUUAGAUGACUUACUGUAUGAGGUGGUUAUGGGUAGAUGUAGCAGCAGUGUUAGAUGACUUACUGUAUGAGGUGGUUAUGGGUAGAUGUAGCAGCAGUGUUAGAUGACUUACUGUAUGAGGUGGUUAUGGGUAGAUGUAGCAGCAGUGUUAGAUGACUUACUGUAUGAGGUGGUUAUGGGUAGAUGUAGCAGCAGUGUUAGAUGACUUACUGUAUGAGGUGGUUAUGGGUAGAUGUAGCAGCAGUGUUAGAUGACUUACUGUAUGAGGUGGUUAUGGGUAGAUGUAGCAGCAGUGUUAGAUGACUUACUGUAUGAGGUGGUUAUGGGUAGAUGUAGCAGCAGUGUUAGAUGACUUACUGUAUGAGGUGGUUAUGGGUAGAUGUAGCAGCAGUUAGAUGACUUACUGUAUGAGGUGGUUAUGGGUAGAUGUAGCAGCAGUUAGAUGACUUACUGUAUGAGGUGGUUAUGGGUAUAUGUAGCAGCAGUGUUAGAUGACUUACUGUAUGAGGUGGUUAUGGGUAGAUGUAGCAGCAGUUAGAUGACUUACUGUAUGAGGUGGUUAUGGGUAGAUGUAGCAGCAGUUAGAUGAUUUACUCUAUGAGGUGGUUAUGGGUAUAUGUAGCAGCAGUGUUAGAUGACUUACUGUAGGAGGUGGUUAUGGGUAGAUGUAGCAGCAGUUAGAUGACUUACUGUAUGAGGUGGUUAUGGGUAGAUGUAGCAGCAGUUAGAUGACUUACUGUAUGAGGUGGUUAUGGGUAGAUGUAGCAGCAGUUAGAUGAUUUACUCUAUGAGGUGGUUAUGGGUAUAUGUAGCAGCAGUGUUAGAUGACUUACUGUAGGAGGUGGUUAUGGGUAGAUG
Molecule: long non-coding RNA, 2704 nt
Organism: Oncorhynchus keta (chum salmon)
Lineage: Eukaryota; Metazoa; Chordata; Actinopteri; Salmoniformes; Salmonidae
Exons: 3
Source: RefSeq, a predicted model, not a curated record